Molecule: ribosomal RNA, 2774 nt
Filed under: Enterobacter cloacae
Lineage: Bacteria; Pseudomonadati; Pseudomonadota; Gammaproteobacteria; Enterobacterales; Enterobacteriaceae
Description: bacterial LSU rRNA
Rfam family: Bacterial large subunit ribosomal RNA
Source: RNAcentral
AGCGUACACGGUGGAUGCCCUGGCAGUCAGAGGCGAUGAAGGACGUGCUAAUCUGCGAAAAGCGCCGGCGAGGUGAUAUGAACCUUUGACCCGGCGAUGUCCGAAUGGGGAAACCCAGUGCAAUUCGUUGCACUAUCGUUAACUGAAUACAUAGGUUAACGAGGCGAACCGGGGGAACUGAAACAUCUAAGUACCCCGAGGAAAAGAAAUCAACCGAGAUUCCCCCAGUAGCGGCGAGCGAACGGGGAGCAGCCCAGAGUCUGAAUCAGCUUGUGUGUUAGUGGAAGCGUCUGGAAAGUCGCACGGUACAGGGUGACAGUCCCGUACACGAAAGCACACAGGUUGUGAACUCGAAGAGUAGGGCGGGACACGUGGUAUCCUGUCUGAAUAUGGGGGGACCAUCCUCCAAGGCUAAAUACUCCUGACUGACCGAUAGUGAACCAGUACCGUGAGGGAAAGGCGAAAAGAACCCCGGCGAGGGGAGUGAAAAAGAACCUGAAACCGUGUACGUACAAGCAGUGGGAGCACCUUCGUGGUGUGACUGCGUACCUUUUGUAUAAUGGGUCAGCGACUUAUAUUCUGUAGCAAGGUUAACCGUAUAGGGGAGCCGAAGGGAAACCGAGUCUUAACUGGGCGUUAAGUUGCAGGGUAUAGACCCGAAACCCGGUGAUCUAGCCAUGGGCAGGUUGAAGGUUGGGUAACACUAACUGGAGGACCGAACCGACUAAUGUUGAAAAAUUAGCGGAUGACUUGUGGCUGGGGGUGAAAGGCCAAUCAAACCGGGAGAUAGCUGGUUCUCCCCGAAAGCUAUUUAGGUAGCGCCUCGUGAACUCAUCUUCGGGGGUAGAGCACUGUUUCGGCUAGGGGGCCAUCCCGGCUUACCAACCCGAUGCAAACUACGAAUACCGAAGAAUGUUAUCACGGGAGACACACGGCGGGUGCUAACGUCCGUCGUGAAGAGGGAAACAACCCAGACCGCCAGCUAAGGUCCCAAAGUCAUGGUUAAGUGGGAAACGAUGUGGGAAGGCACAGACAGCCAGGAUGUUGGCUUAGAAGCAGCCAUCAUUUAAAGAAAGCGUAAUAGCUCACUGGUCGAGUCGGCCUGCGCGGAAGAUGUAACGGGGCUAAACCAUGCACCGAAGCUGCGGCAGCGACGCGUAUGCGUUGUUGGGUAGGGGAGCGUUCUGUAAGCCGUUGAAGGUGUGCUGUGAGGCAUGCUGGAGGUAUCAGAAGUGCGAAUGCUGACAUAAGUAACGAUAAAGCGGGUGAAAAGCCCGCUCGCCGGAAGACCAAGGGUUCCUGUCCAACGUUAAUCGGGGCAGGGUGAGUCGACCCCUAAGGCGAGGCCGAAAGGCGUAGUCGAUGGGAAACAGGUUAAUAUUCCUGUACUUGGUGUUACUGCGAAGGGGGGACGGAGAAGGCUAUGUUAGCCGGGCGACGGUUGUCCCGGUUUAAGCAUGUAGGCGGAGGUUCCAGGUAAAUCCGGUACCUUUUAACGCUGAGGUGUGAUGACGAGGCACUACGGUGCUGAAGUAACAAAUGCCCUGCUUCCAGGAAAAGCCUCUAAGCAUCAGGUAACACGAAAUCGUACCCCAAACCGACACAGGUGGUCAGGUAGAGAAUACCAAGGCGCUUGAGAGAACUCGGGUGAAGGAACUAGGCAAAAUGGUGCCGUAACUUCGGGAGAAGGCACGCUGAUAUGUAGGUGAAGCCCCUGCGGGUGGAGCUGAAAUCAGUCGAAGAUACCAGCUGGCUGCAACUGUUUAUUAAAAACACAGCACUGUGCAAACACGAAAGUGGACGUAUACGGUGUGACGCCUGCCCGGUGCCGGAAGGUUAAUUGAUGGGGUUAGCGGCAACGCGAAGCUCUUGAUCGAAGCCCCGGUAAACGGCGGCCGUAACUAUAACGGUCCUAAGGUAGCGAAAUUCCUUGUCGGGUAAGUUCCGACCUGCACGAAUGGCGUAAUGAUGGCCAGGCUGUCUCCACCCGAGACUCAGUGAAAUUGAACUCGCUGUGAAGAUGCAGUGUACCCGCGGCAAGACGGAAAGACCCCGUGAACCUUUACUAUAGCUUGACACUGAACACUGGUCCUUGAUGUGUAGGAUAGGUGGGAGGCUUUGAAGCGUGGACGCCAGUCUGCGUGGAGCCGUCCUUGAAAUACCACCCUUUAAUGGCUGGUGUUCUAACGUAGACCCGUGAUCCGGGUUGCGGACAGUGUCUGGUGGGUAGUUUGACUGGGGCGGUCUCCUCCCAAAGAGUAACGGAGGAGCACGAAGGUUAGCUAAUCCUGGUCGGACAUCAGGAGGUUAGUGCAAUGGCAUAAGCUAGCUUGACUGCGAGAGUGACGGCUCGAGCAGGUGCGAAAGCAGGUCAUAGUGAUCCGGUGGUUCUGAAUGGAAGGGCCAUCGCUCAACGGAUAAAAGGUACUCCGGGGAUAACAGGCUGAUACCGCCCAAGAGUUCAUAUCGACGGCGGUGUUUGGCACCUCGAUGUCGGCUCAUCACAUCCUGGGGCUGAAGUAGGUCCCAAGGGUAUGGCUGUUCGCCAUUUAAAGUGGUACGCGAGCUGGGUUUAGAACGUCGUGAGACAGUUCGGUCCCUAUCUGCCGUGGGCGCUGGAGAAUUGAGGGGGGCUGCUCCUAGUACGAGAGGACCGGAGUGGACGCAUCACUGGUGUUCGGGUUGUCAUGCCAAUGGCACUGCCCGGUAGCUAAAUGCGGAAAAGAUAAGUGCUGAAAGCAUCUAAGCACGAAACUUGCCCCGAGAUGAGUUCU